CAAGAGACCGUGAUCGGUGAUAACCGAUCAUACAUUUUUUCACGGAAAUUGGCAGAUUAUGAUCGGUGGCCGAUCAAUCCACCUCUAAAUUUAACACUAAGCUAGUUAACAAGGAUAGACUACUAGUCUGGUUAUCCAUCUUCCGAGCUGGGAAGUAGUGGUUACAUUUGCUUGAGUAACAUUUUUGACUGCUAUGGUCCGAGCUUUGUUUGUUUUGUUUUUCUUUUUCGUUUUUUUUGGUGUGCCUGCUGCUUCCCUCCCCUUCCACCAGGUGCCGCCGGUUGGCUAGGUCCCUGGAGAUAAGCGGUCACUGACCCGUCUACUUGGAGAAGGCUGCUAUGGAGCAUUUAAGAAGCAGCUGGCCGACACUUCAGUGCCUGAGUGUUUGCUUCCUAUGGUGAUUCCUGUCGUUUUACUGAGAACCCCAGUGACACUAUUGCUUCCUGGAUUUUCCUGUGUGUCGUCACACUCCAAGCACUCAUCCCUCUCAGUCCUACCCCAGAGGAUUCCCUUCGAGACGCCACAGGUCUUACCUGUAGGUUGCUAGAAGCUYUGGGAUCAAGGUUCCUCCUGGACCCCGUCGGCCAACAGUUCCUCCGUCUCUCUGCGGCAAGUACUUACCUGAUCCUCCCUCCAACGUUCCCUGCCUCAUCAGCCUUCCGGCACCGGGACCUCCUCAUCCUUGACGACAAGUUUAGGCUCUCUGCCUCACCGUCCAGAACACCAAAGAUGUUGCCAUGAGGCCUGCUACCCUGGGAUGUCUCUCAGUUUUCCUCGACAACGAUGGAGGAGAGUUCUACAAAGCCUCUUGAUUCAGAUGCCAUGGCAAACUUCAUCCAGGUUCCUGUGGGGUUAUUGACUGUUAUGUUAUGCUAAGUAUAUCAUUUUGUUAAAAUAAAACGCUGAAUCUUGUAAAUGUAAUAUCUGUGCCUGUCUUAGGAUGAACUAUUUUGAAGUUUCGUGUUACUAAUUAAACACUGACAUAAAAUGUUUUGUUUAAACUAUUAAUUGAAACUAGCUUAAAUGGAUGUUCAAAUGUGUUGCCAUCUGGCAAGAGUUUAUACUUUUUGUAGUAAAGUGCCUGCACAUGGUAAAGAGAAUGGAUAACAAUUUUGAAAAUACAGUUCUGUUGUACCCUUUCUUAUUGUUGAGUGUUCUUUCUCCCCGUCACCCAGUGUGGUCUUAAAACACUUAAUUUAGUA
Poecilia reticulata (guppy) is the source of this 1202-nucleotide long non-coding RNA. RefSeq lists it as uncharacterized. The record is from RefSeq and is a predicted model, not a curated record. NCBI's taxonomy places the organism in Eukaryota, Metazoa, Chordata, Actinopteri, Cyprinodontiformes, Poeciliidae.